GAUGAACGCUGGCGGCGUGCCUAAUACAUGCAAGUCGUGCGAACGGACGCGAAGCUUGCUUCUCUGAUGUUAGCGGCGGACGGGUGAGUAACACGUGGAUCACCUACCUUUAAGACUGGGAUAACUUCGUGAAACCGGAGCUAGUACCGGAUAAUAUUUUCAACCGCAUGGUUCAAAAGUGCAAGACGUUCUUGCUGUCCCUUAUAGCUGUAUCCUCGCUGCAUUAGCUAGUUUGUAAGGUAACGGCUUACCAAGGCAACGAUGCAUAGCCGACCUGAGAGGGUGAGGGGGCAAACUGGAACUGAGAGGCGGUACAGACACCGAGGGGAGGAAGAAGUAGGGAAGCUAGGGAAAUGGGGGAAAGCUUGAAGGAGCAACGCCGCGGGAGUGAGGAAGGGCUGAGGAUGGGAAAACUGUGUUAUGAGGGAAGAACAUAUGUGGAAGUAACGGUGCAUAUCGUGACGGUACCUAAUGAAAAAGCAACGGCUAACUACGUG
RNAcentral lists this ribosomal RNA (497 nucleotides) under uncultured bacterium. RNAcentral describes it as "partial 16S ribosomal RNA". It matches the Rfam family "Bacterial small subunit ribosomal RNA", at positions 28 to 507 of the family's 1533-position model. The record is from RNAcentral.